Zonotrichia albicollis (white-throated sparrow) is the source of this 2912-nucleotide long non-coding RNA. Lineage: Eukaryota; Metazoa; Chordata; Aves; Passeriformes; Passerellidae. The record is from Ensembl.
CUUUCUUCCCUUUGUCGGGGCACCCUGAAAAUACAAUAUGGCACAAUUUCCUUCUGAGUACUGAAAGAUUUAGAGGUAAGGCUGUAGUUCAUCAUCAUCUUCAGAGGGCACUGCAUACUUGGAGAAUAGCAAAUGUGGUGCCUGAAUUUAGAAAAAAGGAUAAAAGUGACCCAGGACUGAUUACUGUUGAUCUGAGAUCAAGAGUGUGUAAAACUCUAAGAAUAAUUUUUAAAUGGAAAGAUAAUGACACAUAACUAUAUUAUGGAAAUAGGAGAAAUUGUGAUAGAGGGCUGGAAGAAGCAGAUUGCCAUAUCUUAACCUAUAUUCAUUUUUCUGAAAUUAAGUGAUUUUCUAAAGAAUGAAGAAAAAUUUUGUAGGAAUAAUUCAUCUGUAUCAAAGUAAAAUAUUUCUUAAGGAGUCAUGAGGAAACUAGAGGAGACAAACAUUCAGUACAAAGCUUGAGUGUGGCAAGAACUAGUUAAAAUGGAUACAACAGAAUGAGAUGCAUAUAAGAAAAAUAUCAAGCUGGAGGGAGGUUAGAAGAAAUCUCAUAAGAUAUCUAUCUGUCUAGGUAGCAAUCUUGAAGACUGGUACCCUAAAAGUUGCUUUUGGUUAACUGUAUUUGGCUAAUUAUUUAAGCAGUGUUCAAAUAAUCUUGACCAUGAAGUAGAAAGUGGGUGAACUGGAAGGCUGGAGUAAUGGAAAUGGAACCUGACUUCAAGGUACAGACUCAUUCACAGUACAGAAAAAAAGAAACUAGAUUUCUACAAACAGGUAAGAUUUCAUUCCAUGAAAAGGUCAGGAAAUGGAAAAUGUUUCAUGUUCUAGUGAAUCACAGGCUAAAUACAUGACAACUAGACACAGUCCUGUCACGUCAUGCCAAUCACUGUCAAAAAGGUGUGGUACAACUGCGAAACACCAAAUGCCUACCAGGGAAAAUAUGCUCAGUAAAAAUCAGCAAGCGUUAGUCCACUGCAUGUCUGCUAGGAUCCUGUGUACAGUGCCCUGCAUGGUUCUGCUUAUUCAUAUUCAGGGAAACUAUAGAUUGACGGGAGGAGGUGCACAGUGGAGUUGAGAAAGUGAAAAGUUGUCCUGUGAGAAAAGACUGACAGCGUGAUUGAAACUGGGUGGGUGUCUCACACCAGAGUGCACAAAGGUGCAGCACUGGACAGUGCUGCUAUUUCAGAGAGCACUCCCUCUCCCAGCUGAGGUCCUGCACCACUGACCACCCUCCUUUUCUGCUUGCUUCAAGUACUGUUCUCUGUCUUGAGUGAGUGCAUGCAAGAGGGAGUGGGAUAAAGUAUUCAGACAUCCAUCAACAGAUGUUGGAAUGGGUCUUAACUGUAAGCCCAAAUCAAAUGCUUUGGAAUGUCUGAAAUAACCUUGAUAAAACUAGACACAUUAAUGAAGUGUCCCAGGUGUGAGCUGGGUCACAUCCCAAAUAGCACACUUGCACAGCCAGGCAAAGGUGAAGUCAAGAGCAGCAAUGAAAAUGUCAGGGACUUGGCACACAGCAAUACCCAUGAAGCCACUGGGCACCUUCAAUCUCUCACCCCCACUCUUGUUCAGCAUAAUCAGCUGAUUAAUGGUCUCCCUCUCUUAAAUGGAUCCCAGGAGCUCUAGGUGGGGUCUGAAAUGUUUUAUGUGAGUAAUGGAAAAGGGCACUGGAUUUUAGGAUGCUCUAGAUGUAUCUCAGGCUUAAUUUGGCUGAUUUCUCAUCCCUACAUGAGAAAUGAAAUGCAGAGAAGGUCUGUGUCUGAGUCAAUAGAACCGAUAUUUGGGAUUUAGUUAUUUAAACUUUUACAUGAGAGAGCUAUUCUGAGUCAGCUGUUUUCUUCCUAGGAUGGCAACGUCCAGUCAGCCCCUCAAAUUUGUUUCUCUCCUGCAAAAGUGCAAGAAAUUCCACCUUCCAUUGAGUGCUGGGGUACUGACAGAUCUCAUUAGCUUAGCAAUGGAACCCCCAUGUAAUAUGUCAAUGCAACCCCUGUGGCAUUGAUAUAUUUAAUAUCUCUCAUAUGGUGAGUCCUCAAAGCAGAAAGAACUGCAGUCACUCACAGCUAAGAGAAGCUUUUGGUGAUCAGACAGAUUUAGUGGUGGAGACAACUCAUUUUUUCAUGCUCCUGGAUAAUUGGAAUAAUCUGUCCGGGCAAGCAGCUAAGAUGGGGUUUACACAGAGUAUGCAUUGCACCCGAGUUUGCUGUUUUAAAACACCAAGUUUUGUGGGAAGAUUAGCAAGGUUAGCAUGUUAGUCUAUUGAAGCCUGUCUGGAGGGGAAAGGAGAAACUUAACAGUGGGCAAAAGGAGUAGGAGUGCCUCUUAAGAAGGUAUCAGAGAAGUGCAGGUGAAUUGUGGGCCCAGGAUUCACAUGCACAGAGGAACACUUCUGUGUGUACCCUCAGCUGGUUCCACUCUCUUUCCAUGAGAUCUGAGGGACGUAUGUCAAGGCUGAUUUCAGUGAUGGCUGCCAGCUUCAAUUAAGGAAGUGGGAUCCCUUCCAGCCCUGGCCAGCUCACUGUGAGUGAUGGAGGAGCUGUAUCAACCAGCAGAGCCGAUCUGGGGAUAUAGCUGUUUGUACACACUUGAAAACCCCACUGGUCAUUGUGUCACUCUUAUUUCUGGGACGGUUAAAGGCUGCCUGUGAGCAACUUCUGAUGAACCUGAGGGAUGCAGCUAAUUUCCAGUAGAUUACAUGGUUUAAUUGGUGCUAAAAAAAUGUUGUGACACAAGAGUGCUGAGAAAGAGGUCUUAGCAAAGUGUAUCAAUAACCUCUAUUGCUUGAAAUAGCUCACAUUCCCAGAUCUUUUUAGCAGUAGCUUUACUUAAAAUUAUUAACAGUAUUAAGCAUGUAUUAACUUUAUUGCAAUAACAAAAAAAUACAUAAACAAAUAAAUAAAUAAAGCAAAGCUUAAACA